Homo sapiens (human) is the source of this 1817-nucleotide long non-coding RNA. Ensembl annotates it as long intergenic non-protein coding RNA 1206. The record is from Ensembl. Lineage: Eukaryota; Metazoa; Chordata; Mammalia; Primates; Hominidae.
AGACCUUGACAGUUGUAACCGAUAGACUGGGCUGGGGCAACGCUGAUGAAAGGCAAAUUCCUGAGAGAAAAAUCACCCAGAUUUUUCAGUGCCUUCUCUAGCUUUCUAGAAGUUGUUAUGAGUGGACCUGACUACCUAGAGAGAGUAAUACAGAAGCUCCGUGCCGAUCACAGCUACCUCAUUACCAUGUUCCUCCAAGAUGGCCGCCCCUGAGGAGAAUCAUCAACUGGGCUUUACGGAAGAGAGAAAUCCAAACGACCAUCAGCAACAAAUGAAAGACUGAAGUUGAAAGUUUCAAGAUUGUCAAGAAUGACGAGUUGGACUUGGUCUAGUUACUUCCACAGCAGCAGGAGGAACAUGUGUGUGACUCAGGAUAACUGGGGAAGCCUUGGCUAGGCUUUCCUCAUGUCAACCUACCACUCAAAGGGAGAAAACCUCCUGAUCAGAGGAAAUCCAUAAUUUUUGAAUGCUGGCCGAGGUCUGUGACCUCUGACUGAAUGGUUUCCAAGCUCCGAAUUCCUAGGUGAUGUUUUCAUUUGUUCACACUUGCUGAAGAAGGGAAAGGCUCUCUGAUUUACGUGUAAGCAAAACAAUCUAAACAGUAGGAUAAAAUCAUGUUGGAAUGGAGUUCUGUGUGGAUGCUCCUUUGAACCAAAUCAGUUCCACAACUGACCCUGUCAGGGACAUAUAAAUUUAGCAUUUUGGUGUGGAUACAGAAGACGAGAUUAACACAGAUCAAGUAACAUGGAAAUAAAAAAGGAGACAAUGCUGGAUGAUACAGGGGCAGCCAACAAGAGGAGAAAACCCAAGCAUUGGCAAAUGCCUCAUUAUCCAAAGAACACUCCUUAUACUCCUGAGAAUUUGUGGCAGUCCUGGGUUAAACGAUGAAGGCUUCUUAUUCUCAUGUAGGUCUCACAGCCUCUUGUCUCCCUGAGUUUUAAACACAUUGCAUUACCUUUCCAGAGGAGGUGUGGAGCAAAACUGUGUUGAAUGAACUGUAGAUGGAAAUUCUCUCCUUCCCACCGAGGAGCCGCUGCAGGUUGCAGACUCCCAGAAUGCCACACUGAGAAGAGGAGGGCUAAAAUUCUAGAGCAGAAUCCCUGGGGCAGCCCCUGCUGAAGAAGGGUGCAUCUGUUGAGAAUCUCAUCACCGCCCCCACCCCGCCCAGCCUUCAAUUUAGAGGAAUUUCUAGUUCACGCAGAAUGAAGACAAGAUCACAUAAGUGAGGACGACGCCCCAUUUACAAGUGUGAUUUGGAAGACUGAAGUGGAAACCUUGGGAAGGGGCCUCAGAGUAUGUCAGCUGGGGUCAGACGGGAACAGGAGUCUGGCUCAACACACAUUUAUUGCACUCCUGUUUCAUGCCAAGAAAUGUACCAAAAUCUGGGACUGUGUAACACAGCAAAGGAAAAGACUCAUCUCCAGGAAGCCCCCUUGUCUAGGAAGAGAAAUUGAAUAUCAGCAUAAGGUGGUGAAAAGCUGUGAAGGAGAUGAGUGCCAGGAGUCCAUGGAGGAAGGAUUCUAGCCUGGACAGUGUUUCAGGUGGAAAAAAAUUAUUCUUCAAUAUUCGUAAGAAUGAGAUUGGAUAAAGGACACAAAUGAAGUCCAGACCAAGUACAAAAACAUGAGCUCCUUCUCCUGGCUGCUCAACUAAUGCAGACUUAGCCUGAGGAUGAGAUAACUAUCUCAACAGCCAUUCCAUUGCUCAGACUUCAAAUUAUAGUAAUUAUGACAAUUUGUGCCAAUAGCCACGAGGUGGGAUUUUUGAUGUGGUUAAAAAUAACAUCUGUAAAACCCAAUAAAAAUUACAUUUUGCUA